AGUUGGUAGGGUAAAGGCCUACCAAGGCUACGACGGGUCGCUGGUCUGAGAGGACGACCAGCCACACUGGCACUGAGAUACGGGCCAGACUCCUACGGGAGGCAGCAGUGAGGAAUAUUGCGCAAUGGGGGAAACCCUGACGCAGCAACGCCGCGUGUGGGAAGAAGGCCUUGGGUCGUAAACCACUUUUGCACGGGACGAAAAAGGGAUAUCGAACAAAUAUCCCCGAUGACGGU
RNAcentral lists this ribosomal RNA (236 nucleotides) under uncultured bacterium. Its description in RNAcentral is "partial 16S ribosomal RNA". It matches the Rfam family "Bacterial small subunit ribosomal RNA", at positions 247 to 476 of the family's 1533-position model. The record is from RNAcentral.